Molecule: ribosomal RNA, 245 nt
Filed under: uncultured bacterium
Lineage: Bacteria
Description: partial 16S ribosomal RNA
Rfam family: Bacterial small subunit ribosomal RNA
Source: RNAcentral
UACGUAGGGGGCAAGCGUUGUCCGGAAUCAUUGGGCGUAAAGCGCGUGUAGGCGGCUCGGCAAGUCCGAUGUGAAAGCCUGGGGCUCAACCCCGGGACUGCAUUGGAAACUGCCCUGCUAGAGUACGGAAGAGGGGACUGGAAUUCCUGGUGUAGCGGUGAAAUGCGCAGAUAUCAGGAAGAACACCGGUGGCGAAGGCGGGUCCCUGGGACGUUACUGACGCUGAGACGCGAAAGCGUGGGGAG